GGUUCAGGAUGAACGCUAGCGACAGGCCUAACACAUGCAAGUCGAGGGGCAGCACAAGGAGCAAUCUGAGGUGGCGACCGGCGCACGGGUGAGUAACACGUAUGCAACCUGCCUGUAAGCGGGGAAUAACCCGUUGAAAGACGGACUAAUACCGCAUAAUACUAAAUUACUGCAUGGUAAUUUAUUUAAACAUUUAUGGCUUACAGAUGGGCAUGCGCAUGAUUAGCUAGUUGGAGAGGUAACGGCUCCCCAAGGCAACGAUCAUUAGGGGUUCUGAGAGGAAGGUCCCCCACACUGGUACUGAGACACGGACCAGACUCCUACGGGAGGCAGCAGUGAGGAAUAUUGGUCAAUGGACGAGAGUCUGAACCAGCCAAGUCGCGUGCAGGAAGAAUGUCCUAUGGAUUGUAAACUGCUUUUGCAGGGGAAUAAAGUGCAUCACGUGUGAUGUUUUGUAUGUACUCUGCGAAUAAGGAUCGGCUAACUCCGUGCCAGCCGCCGC
RNAcentral lists this ribosomal RNA (502 nucleotides) under uncultured bacterium. RNAcentral's name for it is "bacterial SSU rRNA". It matches the Rfam family "Bacterial small subunit ribosomal RNA", at positions 21 to 518 of the family's 1533-position model. The record is from RNAcentral.